Molecule: unclassified non-coding RNA, 642 nt
Filed under: Bradyrhizobium sp.
Lineage: Bacteria; Pseudomonadati; Pseudomonadota; Alphaproteobacteria; Hyphomicrobiales; Nitrobacteraceae
Description: partial 16S-23S ribosomal RNA intergenic spacer
Rfam family: Bacterial large subunit ribosomal RNA (bases 522-642)
Source: RNAcentral
CGGAGUUCAGUCUUCCCAGGCCCACCACUUUCAUCGAGUGAGCAUUCGUCUUCUGGUUACGGGGCCAUAGCUCAGCUGGGAGAGCGCGUGCUUUGCAAGCAUGAGGUCGUCGGUUCGAUCCCGUCUGGCUCCACCAGAUGGUUUGAUCACCUGCGACUGACCGUCGUCCGCGAAACAUCACUUCGCAUUCACUAGUCUGGAUAGACAGUGAACUGCGUGUUUUCUGACAUCGUAAAGAGGAGAUCGAUCCGAGUUGGGUCGUGCAGCAGAUUGUUGCGCGGAUCCUUCAUUAUCUCCGGAUCAUUUUCGGCGCUCGCUUUCAGCCGUGAGGCUGAACGCGAGUUGUAAAAUGAUCCUUUUAGCGAAGCUUGACCGCCUCGCUAUCGGAACGAUCUUACGAAGCAAGCUGGUCUUUCUAGUCAAUGUCCGGCUGUGAGAAUAGCGCUCGUCGAGGGCGCGUGCCGCAAGGCGGUUCUUACAGGCAGCAUUCUGCCGAGUGUGUGGACAUUGAUAAUGAGAGCAAUCAAGUGCCUUAAGGGUGUUCGGUGGAUGCCUUGGCGCUGAGAGGCGAUGAAGGACGUGCUACGCUGCGAUAAGCCGUGGGGAGCUGCGAAGAAGCUUUGAUCCGCGGAUUUCCGAAGG